Molecule: unclassified non-coding RNA, 224 nt
Filed under: Hevea brasiliensis (rubber tree)
Lineage: Eukaryota; Viridiplantae; Streptophyta; Magnoliopsida; Malpighiales; Euphorbiaceae
Source: RNAcentral
GUGUUCCUUCCAUAACAUUGAACCUAUUCCAUUUGCUUAUUUUAUUUGUUGAAGUGUUCUAUUUUCUUUACCCAGGUUGCUUUGAUGAAGACUCGAAAUUAAGAUAUUUUUAUUUUUCAUUUUUAAUUCCGAGACUAUUCUAUAGAGGUCACAGAAGUCAAGGACCUUGAAAGGGAGCAAAGCACAAGGGAAAAUCUGAUGAAGACGAAAGCCAUUUGAACUUC